Molecule: non-coding RNA, 23 nt
Filed under: Arabidopsis thaliana (thale cress)
Lineage: Eukaryota; Viridiplantae; Streptophyta; Magnoliopsida; Brassicales; Brassicaceae
Source: RNAcentral
UUUAAUCUCAACCCGACGGUGUA